GAGCACGCCGGCCGCCAGGCGCCCGUACAGCUGCUCCAGUAGCUCCUCCGGCCGGUCCGCGCAGCCCCGCGGCCGCGCGGGGCGCCUGCCCGCCCUCGGGGCGCCCGCGGCCCAGCUCGGCGGCAGCGCCAGCAGGAAGCCGGCUACCAGCAUCCAGACCUGAGGGACAGGCCACGCUCAGCGUCCGCACGCGCCGGAGGAGCCCGCCUGCGCCCCGCGCCCGUGUCCCGCCCGCGGCGCCCGGAGCCGGCGGGCGCCUCCCCUCGCCCCGCGGAGCCAGAGGCCGGCCCGGAGGAUGGGAGCCGCGCGGGCGGGCCCCAGAGCGCCCUCCCCGCCUGCCCGCCGCCCGCGGGGUCCCCGGGGCCCAGCCCGGCGCCGGCCCGCGCGCCCCCGGCCCCCGCCGCCGCCGCCGCCCCGAGCCGGGGGCCGCACGGGGGGCGGGUGCGGGGCGCGCGUGCACGUGUGCGUGUGCCUGCCGGGUUGCUGCGCCGCGGGCUGCGAGUGCUUGUGACCCGCCGCACCCUCACCCCCGGGCGCGCCAUCCCUGCUCCGCCGCCAGCGAGGGAGCCCCGGAGCCUAAGACGCCCGGACCCGCCGCCUCGCAGACCCACCCUUGCCCCUGCGCCUCGUCAUCCGCCCGCCCCAGCCAGCCCGCGCAGGGUCCGCGGCCCGCUUUUCCGCGAGAAGCCCCCUGUGGUCUUUCCUCGUACCCGGGGACUCGGACCGAGAAGCCGACUGAGCGAGGUCGCCGCCCGGCCUCACGGACACAGAGCGACUCUGCACCUUUCGCCUCCAGGAGCUGAAAACAUUUUGUCACUUGUGCAGUGUACUCACCAGUGCCCCCAACAUCUUCUCCCCCGAAAGCGCUUUCAGAUUCGCGCCGAGAUGGGGCGACGCGGCGGCUCUUGAGCGGAAUAACCCGAAGGGCCACGCAAACUGGGGCCGAUUUUGGCUCAGAGAGAUUUCUCUAUUA
RNAcentral lists this long non-coding RNA (973 nucleotides) under Homo sapiens (human). RNAcentral describes it as "non-protein coding lnc-EEF1AKMT1-3:3". The record is from RNAcentral. Lineage: Eukaryota; Metazoa; Chordata; Mammalia; Primates; Hominidae.